CACCUGGGAGACCCUCACCUGGGAGACCCUCACCCUGCAGACCCUCAGCUGGACCUGCCAGCUGCCAUGAGGCCAUCACAGAGGGCAAGGCUGAGGAGCAGUAGUGCACUGCCCUGAGGGAUGUGAGAGGACUCAGGUGUUUGUGAAACACCAGGACAAUCAUCUCCGUCGCCACGACAACCUCCAGCAACAUAUUUGCCACUUCAUUCAGCCCCAGGCAGAGGAUGAAGAGGAGAGAUGAUGAAGAGGAGAGAGAUGAGGAGGAGGAGCGAGAGGAUGAAGAGUGAGCAGUCAUCUCUCACUCAACAUUGUUCCACUCCUGUCUGUCCCUAUGCAUUGUGCUUGAGCUAUCCCAGAAUGCUCCAGUCCUAUCACGAGCAGUCUUCUGUCCGCGACAUGGGCGGCUUCUCUGUUUACUCUGCAUCUUCCUCAUUUUCCUCAUCCUCCUUUUGCCAGUGUGCUUAUCUGUGCAGUUUUUCCUCCUUUUUGUGACCAAAGAGAGUUUACUGUUUCUUUCCUCGAUUUGUUUGUCUCAAUAAAGUAACACAUCUAAUGAAAACAAUCUAGACUAGAGAAAAGGACUUCAGAAAGUCAUCCACCCAAGAAUUCAGUUUUCCAGAAGGUUUGUAAUUGUUAAAUGUCCUUGGAGUAACAGAACAUCAUAUCACAACUGGUCAUCUUAAAUAUCUACCCAUACCGUAUAAUCAUAACAUGAUGUUCACUGCUGAGAAGAUCAUGGUUGCUUUCAGCUGCAGUUCUCAGAUUGGUUUUUGUUUUCUGCUCUUGAAGAGUGAUGGUUGUGCUAAUCUGUAUAUAAUCUGCAUUUUGAUCUUGGCAAUAGUGCAAAUUAACCACUUGUAAAGGAUUAUCAGGCAUGCUUGGCUAGCAUCAACAGAGUAAUAAAACUGUCUAUAGUUACAGCAUUUCACACUCAUAUUUCACACUCACAUUUCACACUCAUAUUUCACACUCACAUUCACGUGUCUGUCCUGCCUGUCUCACUUUUCCUUCCUUUGUCAACUGUAGCUGCGUAGUCUAAUCACAUAGAGAUUAUUUAUGUAUUAAUUAAUUUAUUAUUCAUGGGUGUGGAUUAAGAUUGAUGUACUUUAAUUUGCUGUUAAAGAAUGUAGCAAAUGUUUAAAAAUGGAUUCAGAAAGCCAUCUAAGAGAGUCCUGGAACACUGUAGUUGAUACUCUGAUCCUCUCCUCAGACUAUAACCUAAUUCACAUACUGUAUUAUACAUUUAUUAACUGUGUUUAUAGACAUGAAAAUAAGACAGAAAAAUUAGAAUUCAAAUUUUAAUUGAUGUAAAUGACUGAUUUGGCUUGUUUUGUUUCAUUUCUCUGCACUCAUCCCUAAAGAGGAGGAUUGUGCUUGUGAGGUCAGAGAUGAAGUGUGUUCAGGUUACUGUACACUGGUUGGUAUGGGGUUAGUGUUCAGGUUAUUGUACACUGGUUGGUAUGGGGGUUAGUGUUCAGGUUACUGUACACUGGUGGGUAUUGGGUUAGUGUUUAUGACAGUAUUCAGUGGUGGGUAUGGGGUUAGUGUUUAUGAGUGUUCAAUGGUGGGUAUGGGGGAGUCUUUCACUGUUAGUGCAGGUUAUUGCUUGUGGCUAGUGUAUCUUGAGCAAGCAAGUACAUUGCGGUGAGUGUGCAGAUCUGUGUGCAGGUAGUAUUUGGGAUAUGUGUGAAGGUAGGAGAUAGGGAUUAGUGUUUGGGGAUGAAUAUGCAAGCCAGCAAUGGGGGGUUAGUGUUUGGGGGUGAAUGUGCAGGCCAGCAAUGGGGGUUAGUGUUUAGGGGUGAAUGUGCAGGCCAGCGAUGGGGGUUAGUGUUUAGGGGUGAAUGUGCAGGCCAGCGAUGGGGGUUAGUGUUUAGGGGUGAAUGUGCAGGCCAGCGAUGGGGGCUAGUGUUUAGGGGUGAAUGUGCAGGCCAGCGAUGGGGGUUAGUGUUUAGGGGUGAAUGUGCAGGCCAGCAAUGGUGGUUAGUGUUUGGAGGUUAAUGUGCAGGCCAGCGAUGGGGGUUAGUGUUUGGGGGUGAAUGUGCAGGCCAGCGAUGGGGGUUAGUGUUUGGGGUUGAAUGUGCAGGCUAGCGAUGGGGGUUAGUGUUUGGGGUGAAUGUGCAGGCUAGCGAUGGGGGUGAGUGUUUAGGGGUGAGUGGUUGUGAUCCUGCAGAUGAUGGAACUGCUUUCACUGUGACUGUUCCACUUUUCCUUUAACUAAUCCACAUCCUCUCUCCAGACGUAAGAAUAUAAUUAUAUACAGUAACAUAACUAUGAUCGCAUGUAUUAGUUUAUUAUAUGACUUAUAAAAAAGACAUUUAAACUCUAUACAACUACUGCUGUGUGUGUAUGGUUGAUAGAAAAUAAAAGUAUAUAUGUGUUCAUCUUUUUUUUGUAAAUGUUCUUGUUCAUUUUCUCAUCUGUAACAUAAAUCCCUUUCACACAU
Electrophorus electricus (electric eel) is the source of this 2443-nucleotide non-coding RNA. Lineage: Eukaryota; Metazoa; Chordata; Actinopteri; Gymnotiformes; Gymnotidae. The record is from RefSeq and is a predicted model, not a curated record.